Molecule: ribosomal RNA, 497 nt
Filed under: uncultured bacterium
Lineage: Bacteria
Description: partial 16S ribosomal RNA
Rfam family: Bacterial small subunit ribosomal RNA
Source: RNAcentral
GAUGAACGCUGGCGGCGUGCCUAAUACAUGCAAGUCGAGCGAACAGACGAGGAGCUUGCUCCUCUGACGUUAGCGGCGGACGGGUGAGUAACACGUGGAUAACCUACCUAUAAGACUGGGAUAACUUCGGGAAACCGGAGCUAAUACCGGAUAACAUGUUGAACCGCAUGGUUCAACAGUGAAAGACGGUCUUGCUGUCACUUAUAGAUGGAUCCGCGCCGCAUUAGCUAGUUGGUAAGGUAACGGCUUACCAAGGCAACGAUGGGUAGCCGACCUGAGAGGGUGAUCGGCCACACUGGAACUGAGACACGGUCCAGACUCCUACGGGAGGCAGCAGUAGGGAAUCUUCCGCAAUGGGCGAAAGCCUGACGGAGCAACGCCGCGUGAGUGAAGAAGGUCUUCGGAUCGUAAAACUCUGUUAUUAGGGAAGAACAAAUGUGUAAGUAACUAUGCACGUCUUGACGGUACCUAAUCAGAAAGCCACGGCUAACUACGUG